RNAcentral lists this ribosomal RNA (497 nucleotides) under uncultured bacterium. RNAcentral describes it as "partial 16S ribosomal RNA". It matches the Rfam family "Bacterial small subunit ribosomal RNA", at positions 28 to 507 of the family's 1533-position model. The record is from RNAcentral.
GAUGAACGCUGGCGGCGUGCCUAAUACAUGCAAGUCGAGCGAACAGACGAGGAGCUUGCUCCUCUGACGUUAGCGGCGGACGGGUGAGUAACACGUGGAUAACCUACCUAUAAGACUGGGAUAACUUCGGGAAACCGGAGCUAAUACCGGAUAAUAUAUUGAACCGCAUGGUUCAAUAGUGAAAGACGGUUUUGCUGUCACUUAUAGAUGGAUCCGCGCCGCAUUAGGUAGUUGGUAAGGUAACGGCUUACCGAGGCAACGAUGGGUAGCCGACCUGAGUGCGUGAUCGGCCACCUUGGAGCUGGGACGCGGUCCUGGGUCCUACGGGAGGCACCAGUAGCGAAUCUUCCGCAAUGGGCGAAAACCUGACGGAGCAGCGCCGCGUGUGUUAUGAAGGUCUUCGGUUCGUAAAACUCUCUUAUUAGUGAAAAACAAAUGUGGACGUAACUAUGCCCGGCUUGACGGUACCUGAUCAGAAAGCCCCGGCUAACUACGUG